This 69-nucleotide transfer RNA is filed under the name Ochlerotatus trivittatus. RNAcentral describes it as "tRNA-Asn". The record is from RNAcentral. Lineage: Eukaryota; Metazoa; Arthropoda; Insecta; Diptera; Culicidae. RNAcentral also lists the same sequence under 3 other names.
UUAAUUGAAACCAAAAAGAGGUAUAUCACUGUUAAUGAUAUCAUUGAAUAAUAUACUAUUCCAAUUAAG